Molecule: small RNA, 278 nt
Filed under: uncultured Mesorhizobium sp.
Lineage: Bacteria; Pseudomonadati; Pseudomonadota; Alphaproteobacteria; Hyphomicrobiales; Phyllobacteriaceae
Description: 5' ureB small RNA
Rfam family: 5' ureB small RNA
Source: RNAcentral
AUCUGCUGCGGCGAGAUGAAAUGGAUGUGGCUGUCGAUGGCGCCGGCGGUCAGGAUCCGCCCUUCGCCGGCGAUGAUUUCCGUGCCCGGUCCGAUGACGAUGGUGACGCCGGGUUGGGUAUCGGGAUUGCCGGCCUUGCCGAUCGCGGCGAUACGCCCGUCCAGCAGCCCGACAUCGGCUUUGUAGAUGCCGGUAUGAUCAACGAUCAGCGCGUUGGUGAUCACGGUGUCCAUGGCGCCCUCGGCACGCGAGACCUGGCUUUGUCCCAUGCCGUCGCG